GCAUCAUUUCAGUUCGGCUAAUGUAAACACUCAUCACCCUGCGCGUUGCAGGAUUCUUCACUGUGAUUUGAGAUUGGGCUUCGCUCGGUGGGUCAUUGUGGUGAUUAAUGGUUUCAGAAGGAAAUGGGGCAGGAAGAGGCUUUGCAGAAAUGGAAGAGAUAACAGGCCUGAUUCACGAUGCUAAUGAGGAGUACAGCAGGAAUUUGUGCCCGGGUUUGUCAGACUCUGAAGACUUUGUUUCUUCCGGGGCCAGAGCAGGCCCUUAGCUGUCCCUGAGCUGCAGAACUACCUACUUCCCAGGCAGGCGGGGGCCGGCUCGUAGGCAGAGAGCAUGGGGAAGACUCUGGCCCACACCUGAUGUUUCUGCCUCCAGCUCCCCCUGCCCCCCAUCGUGCUUAGUCAUGGUUUGUUUUUCUCAUCCCUCUACUGUUUUCCUCGGGAAAUGUUUUAUGUAGAAGUACUGGAAUACACGUUUUCACAAAACAUUAAGCUUUGCGUAUGUGCUGACCUAUUAACUAUACAGACAAGCGUUCCUCAAAAGAGGAUGCUUUUCUUCUUUUAAUGAGCUGCAAGGAACAUCCUGAAUUUGA
This 590-nucleotide long non-coding RNA is filed under the name Dasypus novemcinctus (nine-banded armadillo). RNAcentral describes it as "lncRNA (ENSDNOG00000050510.1)". Lineage: Eukaryota; Metazoa; Chordata; Mammalia; Cingulata; Dasypodidae. The record is from RNAcentral.